UACUCCUACGGGAGGCAGCAGUAGGGAAUCUUCCGCAAUGGACGAAAGUCUGACGGAGCAACGCCGCGUGAGUGAUGAAGGUUUUCGGAUCGUAAAGCUCUGUUGUUAGGGAAGAACAAGUGCGAGAGUAACUGCUCGCACCUUGACGGUACCUAACCAGAAAGCCACGGCUAACUACGUGCCAGCAGCCGCGGUAAUACGUAGGUGGCAAGCGUUGUCCGGAAUUAUUGGGCGUAAAGGGCUCGCAGGCGGUUUCUUAAGUCUGAUGUGAAAGCCCCCGGCUCAACCGGGGAGGGUCAUUGGAAACUGGGAAACUUGAGUGCAGAAGAGGAGAGUGGAAUUCCACGUGUAGCGGUGAAAUGCGUAGAGAUGUGGAGGAACACCAGUGGCGAAGGCGACUCUCUGGUCUGUAACUGACGCUGAGGAGCGAAACGCGUGGGGAGCGAACAGGAUAGAUACCCUGGUAGUCCAA
Molecule: ribosomal RNA, 472 nt
Filed under: Bacillus sp. (in: firmicutes)
Lineage: Bacteria; Bacillati; Bacillota; Bacilli; Caryophanales; Bacillaceae
Description: bacterial SSU rRNA
Rfam family: Bacterial small subunit ribosomal RNA
Source: RNAcentral